This is a long non-coding RNA of Ostrinia furnacalis (Asian corn borer), 601 nucleotides long. RefSeq lists it as uncharacterized. NCBI's taxonomy places the organism in Eukaryota, Metazoa, Arthropoda, Insecta, Lepidoptera, Crambidae. The transcript has 3 exons. The record is from RefSeq and is a predicted model, not a curated record.
UGGAAAUUCCUCUACGCACAGUGAGUACACUACCUUAGUAAUAUCCGGCUCGAAGGACCAGUGUUAAGGGAACUUUGCUAGUUCGCGCCUAAUUUAGAGGGCCUCGUCCGGAGAUACACAAAGAAAUCAUAGCGGCUAUGGUAGUUCCUCUACGCACAGUGAGUACACUACCUUAGUAAUAUCCGGCUCGAAGGACCAGUGUUAAGGGAACUUGCUAGUUCGCGCCUAAUGUAGAGGGCCUCGUCCAGAGAUACACAAAGAAAUCAUAGCGGCUAUGGUAGUUCCUCUACGCACAGUGAGUAGACUACCUUAGUAAUAUCCGGCUCGAAGGACCAGUGUCAAGGGAACUUUGCUAGUUCGCGCCUAAUAUAGAGGGUCUCGUCCGGAGAUACACAAAGAAAUCAUAGCGGCUAUGGUAGUUCCUCUAUGCUCAGUGAGUAGACUAUAUUCUCUGCUUGUGUUGUCUAUGCCGACCAUAGACAACGACGACUUUGUCGCAGCACUUACACCACCUAGCGGCUGUCGUGCCGCAACCGCUGUGGGAAUUCCUCUACGCACACUUCGGCGGCGGGCCGGCAUUGUCUCACGCACACGAGUGCGG